Long non-coding RNA from Pan troglodytes (chimpanzee), 281 nucleotides. RefSeq lists it as uncharacterized. Lineage: Eukaryota; Metazoa; Chordata; Mammalia; Primates; Hominidae. The record is from RefSeq and is a predicted model, not a curated record. The transcript is spliced from 2 exons.
CGCGUGACAAACCCCUGUGCUUAAUCUCAGAUCUGGGGCUCAGGUCGUUGGUCUCAGGAUGAAAGAGCACUCGAGGGCACAGCUGAGUAUAUAUGGGGUUUCACCAUGUUGGCCAGGCUGGUCUCGAACUUCUGAGCUCAAGAGAUCUGCCAAUCUCCGCCUCCCAAAGUGCUGGGAUUACCGGUGUGAGCCACCAUGCCCGGUCAAGGGAUUGUUUAUUAUUUGAUAUUUAAAAAAUUAUGUCAUGCAGUUUCCCAUACUUUAAAAAAAUUUUAAAGCCA